CACAAAUCUCUUCUUAAGGGCCAAGGCACCCAUCCUCAAGCUGCAGGGAAUCUUGGCUGCUGACAUAGCUGUGUUCCUCACUGGGAAUUCCCUCAACAUCAGGGACCCACCUUGCCCAAAGUUACACUCCCUACCAGCAUGUGGUCCAUGACCAAUAGCUGGCUGACAUAGGGAUACAAAUAUCCAACCUCUUGUCUCAAAUUGGGACAAUUCUAAAGAGCUUUCUCAACUCCAGAGUUCUCCAUGGAUCAGCUAAAGCCUCAGUGGUCACCACAUUGCAAGUCAGCAUCUUUGUCUGCCCAAUUUUACAGGCGUACCAUGGAGAUAUUGAAGGUUUGGUUCCAGGCCACUUGCAAUAAAACAUGUGUCACAAUAAAUCAGUCACAUGAAUUUUUUUGGUUUCCCAGACCAUUUGCUGUGGUCUAUUUUUUUUUUUUUUUUUUUUUUUUUUUAUUUUUUUUUUUUUUUUUUUUUUUUUUUUUUUUUUUUUUUUUUUUUUUUUUUAACCAGGCAGCCUGGCUACACUGUGGAAGGGUGGCUGGCUGUAUGCUCUCUGGUCAGGCCUUCUGGAAGUGCUCGGUGAGGACAUCGAGCAGCUCCUGCUUCUUCAGCCCGCCCUUCAGCCCAUACAUCCUGCAAGCUUCCUUCAGUGUGGGCACGGUGAGCUUACCCAGCGUGCCCUUGCUGACGUGGGCCUUCAGCUCCUCUUCGGACAACUCCACCUUGGGCCUUUUGCUUCCAGAACUUUCAUCAUAUGUCAGGUCCACAGUUUGCUCAGGCUCCAUCAAAUCCAGCUCCAAGGCUUCCAUGUUCCUGAAGUGCUGCUGCAAGACUGGGUUCUCGAAGCUGUCACUUCUGUACUUGAAGCGGAGCUUCUGA
Molecule: long non-coding RNA, 879 nt
Filed under: Ovis aries (sheep)
Lineage: Eukaryota; Metazoa; Chordata; Mammalia; Artiodactyla; Bovidae
Description: lncRNA (ENSOARG00000025636.1)
Source: RNAcentral